RNAcentral lists this ribosomal RNA (339 nucleotides) under uncultured bacterium. Its description in RNAcentral is "partial 16S ribosomal RNA". It matches the Rfam family "Bacterial small subunit ribosomal RNA", at positions 355 to 712 of the family's 1533-position model. The record is from RNAcentral.
UGGGGAAUAUUGGACAAUGGGGGCAACCCUGAUCCAGCAAUGCCGCGUGUGUGAAGAAGGUCUUCGGAUUGUAAAGCACUUUCGACGGGGACGAUGAUGACGGUACCCGUAGAAGAAGCCCGGCUAACUUCGUGCCAGCAGCCGCGGUAAUACGAAGGGGGCUAGCGUUGCUCGGAAUGACUGGGCGUAAAGGGCGUGUAGGCGGUUUACACAGUCAGAUGUGAAAUCCCCGGGCUUAACCUGGGAGCUGCAUUUGAUACGUGUAGACUAGAGUGUGAGAGAGGGUUGUGGAAUUCCCAGUGUAGAGGUGAAAUUCGUAGAUAUUGGGAAGAACACCGG